This 299-nucleotide ribosomal RNA is filed under the name uncultured Pseudomonadota bacterium. Its description in RNAcentral is "uncultured proteobacterium partial 16S ribosomal RNA". It matches the Rfam family "Bacterial small subunit ribosomal RNA", at positions 29 to 351 of the family's 1533-position model. Lineage: Bacteria; Pseudomonadati; Pseudomonadota. The record is from RNAcentral.
AGCGAACGCUGGCGGAAUGCUUAACACAUGCAAGUCGCACGGAUGGCUUCGGCCAUGAGUGGCGGACGGGUGAGUAACGCGUAGGAACGUGUCCUGUGGUGGGGGAUAACGCUGGGAAACUGGCGCUAAUACCGCAUAUGGCCUGAGGGUCAAAGCCGCGAGGUGCCAUGGGAGCGGCCUGCGUCCGAUUAGCUUGUUGGUUGGGUAAUGGCUGACCAAGGCGAUGAUCGGUAGCUGGUCUGAGAGGAUGAUCAGCCACACUGGGACUGAGACACGGCCCAGACUCCUACGGGUGGCAG